AUAUAUACUGUUCCGUUGUAAUAUCUGUUCUUAUUAGUUUAAUAUCUGAUAUAUGUGGCUACUGCCAACUCGAUAUUAAAUUAAUUUUGUGGGAGAGUAUCUACCCUGAUAGCUUGUUACUGGAAUUUAUCAUGUCGUUGCGCUGCACUGCUGUUCGAGACUAGCACAC
This 169-nucleotide small nuclear RNA is filed under the name Ananas comosus (pineapple). RNAcentral's name for it is "U2 spliceosomal RNA". It matches the Rfam family "U2 spliceosomal RNA". From Rfam's summary of the family: U2 is a small nuclear RNA (snRNA) component of the spliceosome (involved in pre-mRNA splicing). Complementary binding between U2 snRNA (in an area lying towards the 5' end but 3' to hairpin I) and the branchpoint sequence (BPS) of the intron results the bulging out of an unpaired adenosine, on the BPS, which initiates a nucleophilic attack at the intronic 5' splice site, thus starting the first of two transesterification reactions that mediate splicing. The record is from Rfam by way of RNAcentral. Lineage: Eukaryota; Viridiplantae; Streptophyta; Magnoliopsida; Poales; Bromeliaceae.